CCUACGGGAGGCUGCAGUGGGGGAUAUUGCACAAUGGGGGAAACCCUGAUGCAGCGACGCCGCGUGAGUGAAGAAGUAUUUCGGUAUGUAAAGCCCUAUCAGCAGGGGAGAAAAUGACAGUACCUGACCAAGAAGCCCCGGCUAACUACGUGCCAGCAGCCGCGGUCAUCCGUCGGGGGCACGCGUUAUCCGGAUUUACUGGGUGUAAAGGGAGCGUAGACGGGUAUGUAAGUCUGGAGUGAAAGCCCGGGGCCCAACCCCGGGACUGCUUUGGAAACUGUGUAACUGGAGUACAGGAGGGGCAGGCGGAAUGCGUGGUGUAGCGGUGAAAUGCGUAGAUAUCAGGAAGAACACCGGCGGCGAAGGCGGCAUGCUGGACUGAAACUGACGUUGAGGCACGAAAGCGUGGGGAGCGAACAGGAUUAGAUACCCGUGUAGUC
RNAcentral lists this ribosomal RNA (440 nucleotides) under uncultured bacterium. RNAcentral's name for it is "partial 16S ribosomal RNA". It matches the Rfam family "Bacterial small subunit ribosomal RNA", at positions 338 to 795 of the family's 1533-position model. The record is from RNAcentral.